Long non-coding RNA from Cephus cinctus (wheat stem sawfly), 622 nucleotides. RefSeq lists it as uncharacterized. The record is from RefSeq and is a predicted model, not a curated record. The transcript has 3 exons. NCBI's taxonomy places the organism in Eukaryota, Metazoa, Arthropoda, Insecta, Hymenoptera, Cephidae.
CUGCCAUCUGCACUAGAUAUCAUCCGGCAUACGCAACUAUUCUAUCUGUGUUUCAUGAGAGAUGCGUACCGAUACGUAUCGGUAUGACGAACGGCAUGUGCAAACGGGACUGAUAGGAGCCCAGAGUGUGGGACGAUGCAUCAGUGCAAGUUGGAUUGUACCAUUGGACAGAGAGAUAGAGAGAGGGUGAGACAGAUGAGAGAUAUGGCGGCGUGCGAAAAGGGAUGAAGGCGUGGGAGAAUGAAAGGCUGCAUCCAGCCAAUCUCCGCUACCGCUUUGAAGCUGUAUUCAGCCUGUGCAAUGUUCCACUUGUACCGCAUGCUUUACCUGAGGUCAUGGAACAAGUUGACUGCUUGUAAUAUCUGGCAUUUGAUCAAGGAUUGGGACGGUGUGGAUUGUCCUUUGGGAUUAACUGCAUCGUGGUUCGGAGGUCAUUAAACAGUGUCUAGAACGUUAUAAUUUUAUGGAUCCUAUAGGACAUGGCAUAGGGGUUGCGAGCACGGAAGCGCAGCAAGAAGAAAGCUCAAGACGACAACAACAAAUGCCGAUCGUCCGCGUCUGCAAUUGAUGGCCGUGGUCCCGUAAUUGCGUGACUCGUCAGAACAAUAACAACAACCAUCGU